AUGGUAGCAAAACACCUCUACAAACAAACAAAAAGUUCACCAAAAAUAGAAGAGGACAUCAACAAAAUGAUCAGGUGCUUCUCCAAUUUAAUUGUUUGGAAGCAGUCACUGGAAGCAACACUAUGUGACUCAGCUUUGGUGAUACAGUCCAGCUGGGGUCUGACAGGUCAUUUUUCAGGCUCCUGGUAAUGAACAAAACAGGUCUGAUAAUUUUCAAGAAUACUCUCAGGAAAUAUGUGGUGCAGGACUGCAGCUUUCAAGCAGUUGACACAGAAAUCUGGUUCAAUCAGUGUUGAGAGCCAUGCCUGAAGAAGCCUUCUGUGUUUUGGGACCAGCCAGGGUAGCUGUAACAGCCACAACAAGGCCAUAUUUUGACUGGUUUUCAUCAAUUUGACUCCGUGGUUUUGUUUCUUUUUUUUUUUUUUUUCCUUUCUCUGCCUCUUGUAAAAGCAUUUGGCUUCGAA
Molecule: long non-coding RNA, 464 nt
Filed under: Vulpes vulpes (red fox)
Lineage: Eukaryota; Metazoa; Chordata; Mammalia; Carnivora; Canidae
Description: lncRNA (ENSVVUG00000014688.1)
Source: RNAcentral